GACGAACGCUGGCGGCGUGCUUAACACAUGCAAGUCGAACGGAAAGGCCCUGCUUUUGUGGGGUGCUCGAGUGGCGAACGGGUGAGUAACACGUGAGUAACCUGCCCUUGACUUUGGGAUAACUUCAGGAAACUGGGGCUAAUACCGGAUAGGAGCUCCUGCUGCAUGGUGGGGGUUGGAAAGUUUCGGCGGUUGGGGAUGGACUCGCGGCUUAUCAGCUUGUUGGUGGGGUAGUGGCUUACCAAGGCUUUGACGGGUAGCCGGCCUGAGAGGGUGACCGGCCACAUUGGGACUGAGAUACGGCCCAGACUCAUACGGGAGGGAGGAGUGGGGAAUAUAGCACGAUGGGCGGAAGCCAGCUGCAGCAACGCCGCGUGCGGGAGGACGGCCUUCGGGUUGUAAACCGCUUUCGCCUGUGACGAAGCGUGAGUGACGGUAAUGGGGAAAGAAGCACCGGCUAACUACGG
Molecule: ribosomal RNA, 467 nt
Filed under: uncultured bacterium
Lineage: Bacteria
Description: partial 16S ribosomal RNA
Rfam family: Bacterial small subunit ribosomal RNA
Source: RNAcentral